GAGGGUUUCCGCCCUUCAGUGCUGCAGCUAACGCAUUAAGUAAUCCGCCUGGGGAGUACGACCGCAAGGUUGAAACUCAAAAGAAUUGACGGGGGCCCGCACAAGCGGUGGAGCAUGUGGUUUAAUUCGAAGCUACGCGAAGAACCUUACCAGGUCUUGACAUCUUCUGCCAACCUAAGAGAUUAGGCGUUCCCUUCGGGGACAGAAUGACAGGUGGUGCAUGGUUGUCGUCAGCUCGUGUCGUGAGAUGUUGGGUUAAGUCCCGCAACGAGCGCAACCCUUAUUACUAGUUGCCAGCAUUCAGUUGGGCACUCUAGUGAGACUGCCGGUGACAAACCGGAGGAAGGUGGGGACGACGUCAAAUCAUCAUGCCCCUUAUGACCUGGGCUACACACGUGCUACAAUGGAUGGUACAACGAGUUGCGAAACCGCGAGGUUUAGCUAAUCUCUUAAAACCAUUCUCAGUUCGGACUGUAGGCUGCAACUCGCCUACACGAAGUCGGAAUCGCUAGUAAUCGCGGAUCAGCAUGCCGCGGUGAAUACGUUCCCGGGCCUUGUACACACCGCCCGUCACACCAUGAGAGUUUGUAACACCCAAAGCCGGUGGGGUAACCUUUUAGGAGCUAGCCGUCUAAGGUGGGACAGAUGAUUAGGGUGAAGUCGAAGA
RNAcentral lists this ribosomal RNA (667 nucleotides) under Pediococcus acidilactici. Its description in RNAcentral is "bacterial SSU rRNA". It matches the Rfam family "Bacterial small subunit ribosomal RNA", at positions 826 to 1492 of the family's 1533-position model. Lineage: Bacteria; Bacillati; Bacillota; Bacilli; Lactobacillales; Lactobacillaceae. The record is from RNAcentral.